RNAcentral lists this long non-coding RNA (1581 nucleotides) under Betta splendens (Siamese fighting fish). RNAcentral describes it as "lncRNA (ENSBSLG00000007049.1)". The record is from RNAcentral. Lineage: Eukaryota; Metazoa; Chordata; Actinopteri; Anabantiformes; Osphronemidae.
AUCUGUGUUGCGAUGUUUGCAGGCGAAAUGGGUCGUCAUUUGCCCCAGGGCCUUGUGAAGCUCUGGAGUCGCUUCAAGCGUUGGAGAAACCGGAGGAUCCAGCCGGAGCAGCCGGUGGGCGAAGGUGGUCCAGAUGGGCCUAACGGCGUCCACGUCCAUCCUUCACCCACUCCUCAGGUGGGUGACUCAUACACACCCCAUCCACCUUCUCCUCCACGCUCUCUUGUUUUUUGGUCUGCUGGUCCUUCUGUUUCCCCUUCACCCCCUCCUGUUCCUUGUUGCUUUGAUGUUCUUGCUUUUUCUCCUUCACCCUGUCCUACUCCUUCUUUUUCUUCUUCUUCUUUCUCACUCUCUUCUGCUUCCUCUGGUACUUGGUGCUCUGACAUCUUUCCCUUUUCUCCUUACCCUUCUCCUACUCCUUCUUCUUCUUCUUCUUCUUCUUCUUCUUCUUCUUCUUCUUCUUCUUCUUCUUCUUCUUCUUCUUCUUCUUCUUCUUCCUCACUCUCUUCUGCUCACUCUGCUUCUCUGUGCUCUCCUCCUCACUCUCUCACCUCUCCUUUUUCUUCUUCCUCGCCCUCCUCUGCUUACUCUGGUACUUGUUGCUCUGCUGUCCUUCCCUUUUCUCCUUCACCCUCUGCUGUUCCUAGUUGUUCUGCUGUCUUUCCUUUUUGUCCUUCACCCUCUCCUACUCCUUCUUCUUCUUCCUCACCCUCUUCUGCUUACUCUUGUCUUUGUUGCUCUGAUGCCCUUCCUUUGUCCCCUUUACCCUCUCCUGUGACGGAGAGAGUGAAGGAGCUCAUCCAGCAGCUCAUCUUCCAGGAGAGGUAAGGAAGACAGUGAUGAGGAGGGGGCUGCUCUUGGAAGACUCAACUGUGGGACGCUGUUUCCUACAGUGAAACCAGUCUUGGAUUUGACCCUAGGGCACCUUUUUUGUAGUUUUAUUUCUAUACCAUAAGUUUAAAUGUUCAUUCCAACUUUGAGAACUAACCUUUGCGUCUGGCUGGGCAGUUUUCAGGUCCCCGGCAGCGUCUGGCGCUGGGACCUUUCUUUCUUUCCUGGAUGAACACAAGUUUAAAUGUUAAUUUUACCCUGAGAACUAGCCUUUGCGUCUGGCUGGGUGGUUCUCAGGUCCCAGGUAGCGUCUGGCACCUGGGCCAGUUUUUGCUAUAUUUUAGCAUGGCGGUUGGAUGGACUUUUCUUUCACCCUGAAGGCUGAGUUCAGCGCCUGGCAGGGCCGUCGAUCCCCCCAUGCAAGUUGCCCUAGCGUCUGGCGGGGUAGCUAUUAUGUUUCUUCCACAGCGAUAGAAGGUCAGCUCAGUCACAGUGGCACUGGGGACACAUGUCGUCUCCCACUGAAGCUCCUCGGUGGCAGAUGACUGCAGUGUCAGGUGUUAUGGAGGAGACACAUGGCUGUCUGCAGUCCACAUCCUGCUCCACACUACAGGGAGCAGUGACUGACGGCUACUGACCAUUACGUCUGUCUUUCCAGUGGACAAAGGUGAGUACAAGAUUUGGUUUGGUUGACAGUUUCAAAGGAAGUAGUUGAAUAAAAAUAUAUUUAUAUUUAUUAUGUUAAAUUUU